This 121-nucleotide ribosomal RNA is filed under the name Anolis carolinensis (green anole). Lineage: Eukaryota; Metazoa; Chordata; Lepidosauria; Squamata; Anolidae. The record is from RNAcentral.
AUUUUUUGUCACAGUAUUUUUAAUGGGCACCAGAUCCCAUUUGAUCUUGGAAGCUAGGAAAGGUCAGCCCUGCUUAGUACUUUGAUGGGAGACCACCAAUAAAUACCAGGUGCUGUAGGCU